This 497-nucleotide ribosomal RNA is filed under the name uncultured bacterium. Its description in RNAcentral is "partial 16S ribosomal RNA". It matches the Rfam family "Bacterial small subunit ribosomal RNA", at positions 28 to 507 of the family's 1533-position model. The record is from RNAcentral.
GAUGAACGCUGGCGGCGUGCCUAAUACAUGCAAGUCGAGCGAACAGACGAGGAGCUUGCUCCUCUGACGUUAGCGGCGGACGGGUGAGUAACACGUGGAUAACCUACCUAUAAGACUGGGAUAACUUCGGGAAACCGGAGCUAAUACCGGAUAAUAUAUUGAACCGCAUGGUUCAAUAGUGAAAGACGGUUUUGCUGUCACUUAUAGAUGGAUCCGCGCCGCAUUAGCUAGUUGGUAAGGUAACGGCUUAUCAAGGCAACGAUGCGUAGCCGACCUGAGAGGGUGAUAGGCGGCACUGGAACUUAGACACGGUCCAGACUCCUGCGGGACGCAGCAGUAGGGAAUCGUACGCAGUGGGCGAGAGCCUGACGGAGCAACGCCGCGUGAGUGAUGAAGGUCUUCGGAUCGUAAAACUCUGUUAUUAGGGAAGAACAAAUGUGUAAGUAACUAUGCACGUCUUGACGGUACCUAAUCAGAAAGCCACGGCUAACUACGUG